This 773-nucleotide long non-coding RNA is filed under the name Populus trichocarpa (black cottonwood). RNAcentral describes it as "long non-coding RNA (PTRI_LNC001909)". Lineage: Eukaryota; Viridiplantae; Streptophyta; Magnoliopsida; Malpighiales; Salicaceae. The record is from RNAcentral.
CCUCUUUGUUGCUUAAAUUAAACCACCCACAGCCCUCACAAACCUUCCCCAACCGGUUACUCCCUCUCUCAGCCAUUGUUGAGCAACCCCUACACCCAAAAAAAACCUUGAACACUAGACCCAUUCCCCCCCCCCCAAAAAAAAAAAAAAAACUCAUUCUCAUUUUUCUCUUCCCUGGAUCAUCCUCAUUGUUGACCACAGCAACCAUAGUUCGUUCUAGCCAACCACCCAGCCACCGUGUCCCUCACUAACGACUUCCUCUCACCCCAGUAACUCCAUCGUGACUCAACCAUGACAAACCAGCGACCUCCUCCCGGUAGCGAUGUCUCCUCCCCCAGCAGUGGCGUCCUUCACAUAGUGACCGUGCUAAAAAUUUGGUGAUUGGAAUCAACACCACCAGAUCUGUCCCUUCUCUCUCCUCACUCCCUCAGCCAACAACAACUCACCAUGAUGUCAACCACCUCUUCCUCCAUUGGUCAAUGUGGUAGCAACCAUUAAAGAGCCCAAAAAAUAAUAUUGAGAGAGGUGAAUCUGUAAGAAAAAAAGGAAUAAAUCGAUUGUGUGUGUUUGAGAUUUAUUUUGUUUGCAGGUAACAAAAAACUGCACAGCCGACAGGGAAGGGAAGAGGUGAAGGAGCCGCUUCAUAUCCAAUAGUUUUUGGCCCUCAAUCAAUAACGGUGCAUAGUACACACGCCACAACUGUUUCAACGGCCCUUUUAACUUGAUUCCAGUAACUCUUAGAUACUCUAAACGCCUUCAAAAGUUCGAUUCAU